This is a long non-coding RNA of Rhododendron vialii, 668 nucleotides long. RefSeq lists it as uncharacterized. The record is from RefSeq and is a predicted model, not a curated record. Lineage: Eukaryota; Viridiplantae; Streptophyta; Magnoliopsida; Ericales; Ericaceae. The transcript is spliced from 2 exons.
UCUCCCUUCUCUCCUCUCCUCUCCUCUCCAAACCUCUAUAAAUACCACCCCUCCCCCUCCAAUCCGAACCACAGCUCUCCACCUCUCUCUAACCUCUGUCCAUUCAGAAAUCAGUAGAUAGAUAGGAGAGUGAAAGCUCGAGCUCCGGCCAUGGCCGUUUAGAGAGAGAAACCGAAAAGAGAAAAAAAAGUGGGUUUCUCACUUGCACCACCUCUUAACCCGAAUUACCACUUCCAAACAUCCAUACCCACCAUAAGCUUCCCAAAACAGCCACCAAAUGCCUUGAACCGAGCCCGAACAGCCGUACUCCGGUCGUUUUCUCCGACGAACCGAAAAACUUGAAAACUCGUUUAAAGCUUGUUUUGAUCAAAGCCGAAUUUAAUCAGUUGCUUCGUCGAUCAAUUUGUCAGAAGCUGCAGGUAGUGACGACAUAGAAGAUCAGCCUUGCGAGCCGGAUCUGCACUAUUUAGGAGAGAUACCAGGGGCAGAGACUGAGCAAGAUUAUGCUUGGAAUCCAUAUUAGAACUAGAGUCGCUCUGAGUCAUUGCUCUGUGACGCCAUGUCACCCAAAGGCCUCCGUACAUGUGGGGUAAAGCAUAUUAAUUUCGACCUUAAGCUGUAAUAGGAAGAUACUGUUCCGUGUUUUUUAAUAAAAAGAAUAUUAUUUA